RNAcentral lists this ribosomal RNA (142 nucleotides) under Bacillus sp. ISL-46. Its description in RNAcentral is "partial 23S ribosomal RNA". It matches the Rfam family "Bacterial large subunit ribosomal RNA", at positions 2784 to 2925 of the family's 2925-position model. Lineage: Bacteria; Bacillati; Bacillota; Bacilli; Caryophanales; Bacillaceae. The record is from RNAcentral.
ACAAAUGAGCCUACAUCAAGAUGAGAUUUCCCAUAGCGCAAGCUAGUAAGAACCCUGAAAGAUGAUCAGGUUGAUAGGUCAGAGGUGGAAGCGUGGUAACAUGUGGAGCUGACUGAUACUAAUCGUUCGAGGACUUAACCAA